Molecule: long non-coding RNA, 409 nt
Organism: Marmota flaviventris (yellow-bellied marmot)
Lineage: Eukaryota; Metazoa; Chordata; Mammalia; Rodentia; Sciuridae
Source: RefSeq, a predicted model, not a curated record
CCUCCUAGGCCAGCGGCCCUCCUCCGCCCCCCGGCCGGUCCCCCAGCCCAGAGCCCUACGAGCCCCGGACGGCGGGCAGCGGCACUUACCUCUGGAAAAGCUUCAGCAGAUGGCUCACUCUUCCCUUGCAACACUCCCCUGUAGACACUGCCUUUGCACCUUGGUUGCCAUGGAAAGGACAGAGCUCAAGGAGACCUUUCCAUCAAGACCCCUCUGGACCUGUGUGAUAUGUUCAGAUUUCACAGCUUCAGAAGUGAGAUUAAUUAACUCGAAGCUGGAAGAUCUGCAGGAAAAGCUGUAUCCCUCUGACACUAAACACGGAGCUUCUUCCUGAGAAGAAGGGACUAUUGCUGAGGGUGAACGUAAAAGAGACUCAUUGACUGUCGCCCAUUGGCACCCAUCCCUCAUU